UUUCUGUUGGGCGCUGUGCAUUUUAGGGCUGACAACGACGGCCACGAUCGACGGCUCUGAUGGAAGCUCUGUUUCUAGGGCUUGCGAGAUAGGGCUCGAGAGGAGAAAUGCAAGCGCUGAGGGCCACCGUAGCUGCGGCGCGCAACACCAGGCCAUGGAACAAGGCGCAGAUCCGUGAGAUUCAUCCGCGCGAUGCCGAGGUAAGGAGCUUUUCGAUCGAUUGGAAUUUGAUCGAAUAGAUUGAUCGCAAUUGCAGCUCUUGUCCCCGGAUCCAGCCCUCGCUCCUUUCAAGAGCAAUAAACCCACCGCGAAGAAGAUGCAAAUGGUGGGCGAUGCUACAAUUGUUUUGCUAGGACUGGGUAAGUAUCCCAUUUCGUUUUCUUCCAACUGGAGCUUCUCAAUGCCCUUCCUUUUUUUUCCCAGGCUUUCUCUACGAGAUCCACUAUCGAUGGCAGAAGAAAUGCGACGAAGCAAAGGAAUCGACGUAAACUGUGUACAAAUUCUAAAUAAAAAAGAAAAAAAGAGGAAAAACGCUGCUUCACAAGCACUCACUUUUUUUUUUCUCUUCACUGCUACUAGCCUAUGCUAUCAAAAUUUUUUGGACAUCCUCGACUUACAUUUAGAACGAGUUCACCCUCCUCAGCUCCACUCGCCUGGCCUUGGCGUUUUUCUUGGAACGUUUCAGCACCGUCAGCAUGUCUAUCACCUGAGAAAACAAAAACAAUGGUUUUCGAUUUCGAUCGAGAAUCUAGCGUACCUUGGCCCUGUACCUUGCAUCCUCGGCCUAUUACCAUAAACCCAGCGAGAAACCACUCUCUUAGAAGUUAAAACUAAGCAAAGCUUCUCUUU
This 849-nucleotide long non-coding RNA is filed under the name Selaginella moellendorffii. RNAcentral describes it as "long non-coding RNA (SMOE_LNC002097)". The record is from RNAcentral. Lineage: Eukaryota; Viridiplantae; Streptophyta; Lycopodiopsida; Selaginellales; Selaginellaceae.